GACGAACGCUGGCGGCGUGCCUAACACAUGCAAGUCGAGCGGGAUCCAACCAGUGGCAACACUGGGGAAGAUCUAGCGGCGAACGGGUGAGUAACACGUGAGAAACCUGCCCCGAAGUUCGGGAUAACCCGAGGAAACUCGAGCUAAUACCGGAUGCCCUCUUCCAGUCGCAUGGCCGGAUGAGGAAAGAUUUAUCGCUUCGGGAGGGUCUCGCGACCUAUCAGCUAGUUGGCGGGGUAACGGCCCACCAAGGCAUCGACGGGUAGCUGGUCUGAGAGGACGAUCAGCCACACUGGGACUGAGACACGGCCCAGACUCCUACGGGAGGCAGCAGUGGGGAAUCUUGCGCAAUGGGCGAAAGCCUGACGCAGCAACGCCGCGUGCGGG
This 387-nucleotide ribosomal RNA is filed under the name uncultured bacterium. Its description in RNAcentral is "bacterial SSU rRNA". It matches the Rfam family "Bacterial small subunit ribosomal RNA", at positions 28 to 407 of the family's 1533-position model. The record is from RNAcentral.